UACGGGGGGGGCAAGCGUUGUUCGGAAUUACUGGGCGUAAAGGGCGCGUAGGCGGCUGCCUCAGUCGGACGUGAAAUCCCCCGGCUCAACCGGGGAACUGCGUCCGAUACUGGGCGGCUCGAAUCCGGGAGAGGGAUGCGGAAUUCCAGGUGUAGCGGUGAAAUGCGUAGAUAUCUGGAGGAACACCCGUGGCGAAGGCGGCAUCCUGGACCGCGAUUGACGCUGAGGCGCGAAAGCCAGGGGAGCAAACGGG
RNAcentral lists this ribosomal RNA (253 nucleotides) under uncultured bacterium. RNAcentral's name for it is "partial 16S ribosomal RNA". It matches the Rfam family "Bacterial small subunit ribosomal RNA", at positions 524 to 776 of the family's 1533-position model. The record is from RNAcentral.